AGUUUGGAGGCUUGCGGUCUAAUGUGACACUGCGCCUGAGUCGAGACUUUCUCUUUGACUUCUGCUUUCUCUUUCCUGUCAUGAGAAAACCACAUUCGAAGCGCGAUAUCACAAAACGCACCUGGAUCUAAUGAGGCUCGACAGCAUAAAGACCAACGCAGCCGACGAUCCAGUGCUGGAACGUAGUUCUCUGUCCGACAUUUAUCCUCUGUCGCCUUGGAAGUGAGCUGUGCGCCUCACUUCCCUGGAUCCUCCUCUGGACUCUGACUCCCUCGCUCGAUCCUCGACCCCCCGCUUUAGACACGGACCUCAGGAGGGCCUCACGGUCCUCCCGCUUGGAUCACGGACCUUAUUCUGCCCAACCCCUUUGGACUUGUUUGCCUUUUCAAUCAACACGCACUUACAA
Nerophis lumbriciformis (worm pipefish) is the source of this 406-nucleotide long non-coding RNA. RefSeq lists it as uncharacterized. The record is from RefSeq and is a predicted model, not a curated record. Lineage: Eukaryota; Metazoa; Chordata; Actinopteri; Syngnathiformes; Syngnathidae.